Long non-coding RNA from Rhagoletis zephyria (snowberry fruit fly), 506 nucleotides. RefSeq lists it as uncharacterized. The record is from RefSeq and is a predicted model, not a curated record. NCBI's taxonomy places the organism in Eukaryota, Metazoa, Arthropoda, Insecta, Diptera, Tephritidae.
AAGAAUUCCCCGAAAUGUACAAAGUACGCCGACAUAUUAAGAACGUGCACAAGAUUAAUUUGCCCGAAAUAGAAAACUUCGUUGUAUCGCUCAAAGGGAAAAGGAAGAAUGGAAAUGUAACCCAACAUUCUACUGAGAAAGCGGGAGAGCUUGCAGUAAUGAAUUAGGAAUUAAAAUUAUUUGACGCAUUGAAAAUUGAUGGGUAAUAUUUUUAACAACCACACAUAAAUAAGGGAUGUACACAUGUUUGUGGUGUGUAAAUGAGAUGUUUAAAGUGCAGUCAUACUUGGCUAUGCAAGUUCGUAUUCUACAUAUUUUGUCAUCAAAUUAAGGAAGUGAAAUAGUAAUCUAUCUUCGUGUGAACACAAAACAAUGGAGGGGUUUUAAGCACCGAGAGCGAAGGCAGAGCGAAUACGUUUUCGAUGUUCGCAUUAUGAGAGUAAAAGAUGCACUGACGAAAUGUAUGGAUCGCGUUUUGAAAGUGCUAUACGUUCUAUAUUUAUUGA